This 2677-nucleotide long non-coding RNA is filed under the name Canis lupus familiaris (dog). Its description in RNAcentral is "lncRNA (ENSCAFG00845007502.1)". Lineage: Eukaryota; Metazoa; Chordata; Mammalia; Carnivora; Canidae. The record is from RNAcentral.
UUUUUUUUUUCUUUUUAAAGGUUUUGUUUAUUCGUUUGAGAGAGAGAGAGAGAGAGAGAGAGAGCGCACAAGCAGAGGGAGUGGCAGGCAGGAGGAGAGGGAGCAGGGAGCCCAAUGAGGGACUAGAUUCCAGGACCCUGGGAUCAUGACCUGAGCUGAAAGUAGACGCUUAAACAGAUGCUCAACUGACUGAGCCACUCAGGCACCCUGUGACAUUCAACAUUUUUAACAGCCAUUACAAAAGUAUUAGGGAACUGAUCACCAAAUCCAAGGGCCUUUCCUGAAUUAUCUGACACUACUAACCAUUGCUUUCCUUUGUGCAAUUAUUUUCUCAGAUAUUAAGGAAGCAUGGUGGUUCUCUGAAGAUGUAAUGGGUUUAUUUGAGGAAAGAGUGGAGAAACCUUAUUUUUUUAAAACAAGCUUCCAUGUGGAACACCUGGGUGGCUCAGUGGUUGGGCGCCUGCCUUCAGCUCAGGUCAUGAUCCUGGGAUCCAGGAUCGAGUCUUGCAUUGGCCCCCUGAGGGGAGCCUGCUUCUCCCUCUGCCUGUGUCUCUGCCUCUCUCUCUCCCUCUCUAUCUGUGUCUCUCAUGAAUAAAUAAAUAAAUCUUAAAAAAAAAAAGUUUUCAUGUAAUCCCCUUUUAAAAGUUAUUUAUAAUAAUCAUUAAAAUUGUAUUUAUUUAUUUUUAUUUAUAUAGGCCUUAAUCUGAUCCUAGAGCUAUUGGAGCAAAAUGAAACAAUCUUAUUUAAUGAUAGAAUACAAGGUUUGCCAUCUGGAAGUAAACAAUCUUCUAUAGACCACUGGAAUUAAUUUAUCUUACUGGUCCAGAAGACUGAGUCAGUGUGAUAUAAUGGCAAACAAACUUAUUGGAAGACUUGGGGUGGAAUCCAGGCAUUCUAUUUACUUGCUUUUUUGACCCUAGGUAAAAUAAUUUCCCUGGGUCUCAUCUUCUUCCAGCUUUAAAAUGUCACUGAUUCUACACAAAGAACUGACAGAUAUGAAAAUGAUAAAGACGACCAAAGAGAAAUUUGCCAGGUACAGGACAUGUAUGGUAUAGUAUUUGAUAUUACUGAGUGAAAUUAAACAAACAAACAAACCCCAACAAACCAUGUAUUUUAGCUGGGACUUCAGAAGAAAGAAAAAGGGGGUGCCUGGGUGGCUCAGUUGGUUAAGCGUCUGCCUUUGGCUCAGGUCAUGAUCCUGGCUGGAGUCCCUUGGAUGGAGUCCCGCAUCAGGCUCCUUGCUCAGUGGAAGUCUUGCUUCUCUCUCUGCCCUUCACCCUUGCUCAUGAUCUCUCUCUCUCUCUCAAGUAAAUAAAAUCUUAAAAAAAAAAAAAAAAAGAAAUGAAAAAAGUCACUGUGACUUUUAUAAAAUGAAUGAAACUGGGAAAUGAAAAAAACCCCUGUGCUGGGAAAAUAAUUUGUUACAGAGUUGCCUAUAACAUACAAAGUAACGGAACAGAAUUCAGUUACAUAGAUUGGAGAGAAUAAAAAUCACCUUUUAUAUACUUGAGGGAAACUAAAUUACAACAAAACCCCAAACCACCAGGAGAAAUUCCAGCAAUGGAAGAUGAAAGCAUGGGAUUAUUCUGGAAGGUAAAAAUCAAAAUAUAAAAUAAUCUUUUCCUAUUUUUAAGAUGCUUGUAAUCAAAUUCAUAGAAGAUAAUUAGGUAAGCUAUAAUUGUAUUUUGGAAAGAUCUUGUCCCAAAUCUGGUAACUCAUCUGGUAGCAUUACCUUACCUGAAAUACAUUGUUCAAAUGUGGACUAUAGAAGGAUAUUGGAAAAUCAGGCAUCUCAAAUACUGGGAAUGAAAAAAGUAACAACAUUUCAUAAGAGGAAAUCUGAAUGGCUAGUCAAUAUAUGAAAAGGAACUCAAUAACAUCACCAAUAAGAGAAAUUCAAAAAACCAUAAUGACAUACUAAUACACAUCCACCAGACUGGCAAAAAGAUUGACAACACUCAGUGGGUUGAGGGGGUGGAGGAAUGGGACUCACCUAAAAUGGCUCUUAUAACACUCUAGAAGCAGCUCCCAGGUAUAUGCCAUACGGAAACUGAUAUAAAUGUGAUGGACUACACAUACGAAGAAUGUUCACAGCAGCGUUUUUAACAGUUCCACACUGGAAACAAUCCAGAUGUCCAUCAACAAUAGAAUGGCUAGAUAAAUUAUGGCAUAUUGCUACAAUGGAACACUGCAAUUAACUGAACAAAUUACAAUUAUAUGAACAACCUGAACAACAUAUGGAUUAAAAAUGAUGUGUGAAAGCAACAAGCAAACAAAUUACAUCCUAUGUUGUCCCGUUUAAUAAAGUUCAACAGAAAGGGCAAAACUAAACAUAUUGUUUAGGGAUGCUUGCUUGUGAAAAAACAAUAGAGAAAAACAAGGAGAUGAUUAUCAGAAAAGUUCGAAUAAUGGCUACCUCUAAAAGAGAGGGAGAGUUGUGCUCAGGAAGGUCACCAGGGGGGCUUCUAGGAUGCUGGCAAUGUUCCAUUUCUUGACCUGGCUGGUCACAGGGAGGUUUCUUUUAUAACUACUUAUUAUAACAAAUAACUGCUUUAUGCGUUUUAAUGUGUAUUCACAAUAAAAAUGCUCAAAGUAAUUGAAGACUCUGGAUGGCAUUUCUACAAAUUUUACCAGAUAAUUUAGCUUUAUGAAAUCUCUGACAGUAAAAACCACUGAU